CAGUCAAACGGAACUGUUUUGAAAGAUUUCUUCGGAAUGAAUUUGAUUUAGUUUAGUGGCGGACGGGUGAGUAACGCGUGAGUAACCUGCCUUCAAGAGGGGGAUAACAUUCUGAAAAGAAUGCUAAUACCGCAUGACAUAUCGGAACCACAUGGUUCUGAUAUCAAAGAUUUUAUCGCUUGAAGAUGGACUCGCGUCCGAUUAGUUAGUUGGUGAGGUAACGGCUCACCAAGACCGCGAUCGGUAGCCGGACUGAGAGGUUGAACGGCCACAUUGGGACUGAGACACGGCCCAGACUCCUACGGGAGGCAGCAGUGGGGGAUAUUGCGCAAUGGGGGCAACCCUGACGCAGCAACGCCGCGUGAAGGAUGAAGGUUUUCGGAUUGUAAACUUCUUUUAUUAAGGACGAAAAUUGACGGUACUUAAUGAAUAAGCUCCGGCUAACUACGUGCCAGCAGCCGCGGUAAUACGUAGGGAGCAAGCGUUGUCCGGAUUUACUGGGUGUAAAGGGUGCGUAGGCGGCUUUGCAAGUCAGAUGUGAAAUCUAUGGGCUCAACCCAUAAACUGCAUUUGAAACUGUAGAGCUUGAGUGAAGUAGAGGCAGGCGGAAUUCCCCGUGUAGCGGUGAAAUGCGUAGAGAUGGGGAGGAACACCAGUGGCGAAGGCGGCCUGCUGGGCUUUAACUGACGCUGAGGCACGAAAGCGUGGGUAGCAAACAGGAUUAGAUACCCUGGUAGUCCACGCUGUAAACGAUGAUUACUAGGUGUGGGGGGUCUGACCCCUUCCGUGCCGGAGUUAACACAAUAAGU
Molecule: ribosomal RNA, 809 nt
Filed under: uncultured bacterium
Lineage: Bacteria
Description: bacterial SSU rRNA
Rfam family: Bacterial small subunit ribosomal RNA
Source: RNAcentral